GGGAAAUCAUGUGAAAUUUUCUAACCAAAAAAAUUCAAGCACGGUCAAUGAAAUUGCUAAAAAACAUAUGGAUGGAACUGAAAUUGUUUAAAACAACAGCUUAACAACAAAAGUCCUAUCCAGAAGCAUAUGUUGGUGUUGGACCCAAUGCUUCCACAUUUAACAUCCGCAGAUGGUCAUCUGUUAUUGACAUCGCUGAUGAUCCAUACCCAUCACCGGGGAGAUUAUAAUGGUUCAG
RNAcentral lists this unclassified non-coding RNA (238 nucleotides) under Hevea brasiliensis (rubber tree). Lineage: Eukaryota; Viridiplantae; Streptophyta; Magnoliopsida; Malpighiales; Euphorbiaceae. The record is from RNAcentral.